Molecule: unclassified non-coding RNA, 278 nt
Filed under: Hevea brasiliensis (rubber tree)
Lineage: Eukaryota; Viridiplantae; Streptophyta; Magnoliopsida; Malpighiales; Euphorbiaceae
Source: RNAcentral
GCGAAACCCUGACACCGCCGUCGCCGACGAUGGAAUCAUCUCCGUCCGAACACGGCGGAGCCACCGCCGGAGGCGGAAAGAAGCACAAGGGAAAGCACGACAAGCCGAAGCCGUGGGACGACGAUCCCAACAUCGACCGAUGGAGGAUCGAGAAGUUCGACCCGUCGUGGAACGAGGGUGGCAUGCUCGAAGUCAGCUCCUUCUCUACCCUCUUCCCGCAAUACCGAGAAAAAUACUUGCAAGAAGCGUGGCCAAUAGUGAAAAGGGCAUUGAAGGAG